Molecule: non-coding RNA, 2167 nt
Organism: Delphinapterus leucas (beluga whale)
Lineage: Eukaryota; Metazoa; Chordata; Mammalia; Artiodactyla; Monodontidae
Source: RefSeq, a predicted model, not a curated record
GCCCCUCAAGUUUCGCUUUUUGAAACUUUCUGGAAUUUUCUUUUUUCCAAAUAGUUUCAGGACGUAGAACCCACUGUCAGCAGACUGCCAACUGUAUUAGCAAAACAGAGGCUGGUUUCUCUUGAAGGUGUCAGGUUCCCAUGUUAAAGAAUGUGAGAUUCUAGGUGAUGCAUUUUGCCAAAUCUCUCUGGCCGGACCACAAUAGGUGUAGCUGGAUGAGCAGGCUCUCUGCAGGGAGGUGAAGCGGUGUGGAGCAGAAGAAAGGGGCCAAGGACGAAGGAACAUUGUCCUGCUUGUCCGAGGCAGCCUGCAGCCCAAAAGGCACAUGAUGGGAACGACAAAGAAGAGCUUUGCACCAUCUUCUGAAUGGUUUUGACUAGUUAUAAUAAGAUUGGGUUAUUUUUAGUAAUUGACUAUGCCUAGAAGCCUUUUCUGACGCUUCAAAGGAGAUAAGCAAAGUUGCAUACGAAUGAAACUGAGGUGUAUGCUGGGUAUACGCAGGGAGAUUAUCCUAAAUGAUCCAGGAAUUAGAGGCUGGCCUGGGAGCAGAUAUCUGGUAAUUCUAAGCCUUACGUUUUCCAACGACGUCAUUCCCCACCUGGCUGAUGCCCAGAAAUUUCAUCUUUUCAGACUGAACGGUGAACAGUACAUUUUCUCUUUAUUUGAACACGUGGCUCUAUGUUAAUGACGACUUGGAGGGCCACACCUGGGAGAUGUGGGCCCAGAGUGGUGAUCUUCACGGGAGCUCAAAACACUUGUCAUUUAAAACUUUGGUUUGUGACUUUUCACUUGUGAGGGCAUAUGAUAUGCAUGGGUGUUAUUGUGGUACCUGUAUGCAAAUCGAGACUUAGUGAAGUAUGGUAUUCUUAGAGCUACUGGUCAAGGCAAUGCGAAAUAGAUCUUUUUGCAUAAAAAAUUACUGUCGUUUAGAUAAAUGUACCUUUUGGCAUAUCGCAAAGAGUUUUGAAAUUUGAAUUUUAAUUCCUUUUUAUUUUUUUUGGAGAAUGGUCUUUGAGGUCUUGGUCUUAUGGGAUGGCUUCUAUUUCUCAAACUAUGUAAAAAGAUUUUUAACAAUCCCUUGUUAUGAUCUUUUAUUGUAUAUUUAUAGAUAUUUCUAUUUAUUCAGCAGUGUUUGGAGCACGUAUCGUGUGCUAGCCAUUGUUUUAAAUGAUGGGAAACAGCAGGAAACUAGAGGAGCAGAAAUCCUUGUGGUCAUGGAGUCAGACAAUAAACAAGAUAUUGCAAUAUGUGAUAAUGGUCUGGUAAUCAAAACCAGAAUAAUGAUGAUGCCACAAUAGACCAAUGGAUUGAAAUAGAAGACCCCAAAGCAUGUCGUCUCGCGAGAGGACACUCAGGCAGCUCUGGAGGGGACCCUGUGACGAGGAACUGAGACCCACAGCCAGCAAGAACCCAGGCCUAACAAUGAACAGUAGAUGCAGGAAGAGGCUGGAGAAAUUUGCGUUUCUAAUACGUUCCAAGGUGAUGCUGAAGCUGCUGUUCUGGGAACCACACUUUGAGAACCACUGCCUUAAAAUAUGUCUUUCAUCUAAUGAACCUUUGGAAAACAGGUACAGUUCCUCACAGGAGGAGAAAAUUGGUCUUCCUGCAUCAGUGGAUAAUUUGGCCGAUCAGAAAUAAUGCUUCUGAUGCCCCGACGGACAGAGCCCUCGGUGUGUGUGCUGAGACAGUGCUGGCAGCCCCGCAGCCCUGCCUGCUGCUCCAUUGCUGGUUUUCUGGGCUACAGGCAAUCGAUGGGCAGUAUAGUGUAUGAUGUAGACAUCGUGCAUCUGGUUUUCAGCAAGAUGUUUAAAAAUCCCCCUUUGUUUUCCUGUGGGUAAGCUGGAGAAAUAUGGGCUAGAAGAUAAUUCACCAUUAGGUCCUAAAUCAAUACCAAACCGGAAUGAUUUAAAAAUAACAACCUUGUGGCCAUCCAUCUGGCAUCUUUGUGGACCAGCAGGAUUUUAUGAGCUGAGAAGCUAAAGCCCUGGCACGUAACAUAAGUUCCAGGAUGAAUUAGAAUGUCUUGGGCCAGACAAGCCACUGUGACGUUGACCAGACUGUGAAGAGGCAGGAUGAGAAUUUGGGAGAAGGCACUUCAUCUUCUCGGUGGGAAACCAAGUAACGUAUAAACCAGAGGGAUGCAAUGACCAGCUCCUGUGGGCAUCCC